AUUGAACGCUGGCGGCAUGCCUUACACAUGCAAGUCGAACGGUAACGCGGGGCAACCUGGCGACGAGUGGCGAACGGGUGAGUAAUAUAUCGGAACGUGCCCAAUAGUGGGGGAUAGCCCGGCGAAAGCCGGAUUAAUACCGCAUACGACCUGAGGGUGAAAGCGGGGGAUCGCAAGACCUCGCGCUAUUGGAGCGGCCGAUAUCAGAUUAGGUAGUUGGUGAGGUAAAGGCUCACCAAGCCGACGAUCUGUAGCUGGUCUGAGAGGACGGCCAGCCACACUGGCACUGACACACGGGCCAGACUCCUACGGGAGGCAGCAGUGGGGAAUUUUGGGCAAUGGACGAAAGUCUGACCCAGCAACGCCGCGUGAGGGAGGAAAUCCUUCGGGAUGUAAACCUCGCAAGCAAGGGAAGAAUGCUUGAGACCUAACACGUCUCAAGAGGGACGGUACCUUGCGUAAGCCACGGCUAACUACGUGCCAGCAGCCGCGGUAAUUGACG
RNAcentral lists this ribosomal RNA (502 nucleotides) under uncultured bacterium. RNAcentral describes it as "bacterial SSU rRNA". It matches the Rfam family "Bacterial small subunit ribosomal RNA", at positions 29 to 527 of the family's 1533-position model. The record is from RNAcentral.